GUCAGGCAUAGUGGCGCAUGCCUGUAAUCCCAGUGGCUUGAGAGGCUGAGGCAGGAAGAUUCUGAGUUCAAAGCCGGCAUCAGCAACUUAGGUCCUUAGCAACUCAACAUGAUCCUGUCUCUA
This 123-nucleotide small RNA is filed under the name Marmota monax (woodchuck). The record is from RNAcentral. Lineage: Eukaryota; Metazoa; Chordata; Mammalia; Rodentia; Sciuridae.